AUUUUGUUAUUAUAAAAAGUAUAUUUAAUUGCAAAUUAAAAGGUUAACAAAAUU
RNAcentral lists this transfer RNA (54 nucleotides) under Haemonchus contortus (barber pole worm). RNAcentral describes it as "tRNA-Cys". RNAcentral also lists the same sequence under 1 other name. The record is from RNAcentral. Lineage: Eukaryota; Metazoa; Nematoda; Chromadorea; Rhabditida; Trichostrongylidae.